Molecule: ribosomal RNA, 561 nt
Filed under: Klebsiella pneumoniae
Lineage: Bacteria; Pseudomonadati; Pseudomonadota; Gammaproteobacteria; Enterobacterales; Enterobacteriaceae
Description: partial 23S ribosomal RNA
Rfam family: Bacterial large subunit ribosomal RNA
Source: RNAcentral
GGGGUUGCGGACAGUGUCUGGUGGGUAGUUUGACUGGGGCGGUCUCCUCCCAAAGCGUAACGGAGGAGCACGAAGGUUAGCUAAUCCUGGUCGGACAUCAGGAGGUUAGUGCAAUGGCAUAAGCUAGCUUGACUGCGAGCGUGACGGCGCGAGCAGGUGCGAAAGCAGGUCAUAGUGAUCCGGUGGUUCUGAAUGGAAGGGCCAUCGCUCAACGGAUAAAAGGUACUCCGGGGAUAACAGGCUGAUACCGCCCAAGAGUUCAUAUCGACGGCGGUGUUUGGCACCUCGAUGUCGGCUCAUCACAUCCUGGGGCUGAAGUAGGUCCCAAGGGUAUGGCUGUUCGCCAUUUAAAGUGGUACGCGAGCUGGGUUUAGAACGUCGUGAGACAGUUCGGUCCCUAUCUGCCGUGGGCGCUGGAGAAUUGAGGGGGGCUGCUCCUAGUACGAGAGGACCGGAGUGGACGCAUCACUGGUGUUCGGGUUGUCAUGCCAAUGGCACUGCCCGGUAGCUAAAUGCGGAAGAGAUAAGUGCUGAAAGCAUCUAAGCACGAAACUUGCCCCG